This 451-nucleotide ribosomal RNA is filed under the name uncultured bacterium. Its description in RNAcentral is "partial 16S ribosomal RNA". It matches the Rfam family "Bacterial small subunit ribosomal RNA", at positions 29 to 523 of the family's 1533-position model. The record is from RNAcentral.
AGCGAACGCUGGCGGCAGGCCUAACACAUGCAAGUCGAGCGGCCGUAGCAAUACGGCAGCGGCAGACGGGAGAGUAACACGUGGGAACGCGCCCUUCGGUCUGGAAUAACCCAGGGAAACUUGGGCUAAUACCGGAUACGCCCUUACGGGGAAAGAUUUAUUGCCGAAGGAACGGCCCGCGUCCGAUUAGCUAGUUGGUGAGGUAACGGCUCACCAAGGCGACGAUCGGUAGCUGGUCUGAGAGGAUGACCAGCCUCACUGGGACUGAGACACGGCCCAGACUCCUACGGGAGGCAGCAGUGGGGAAUAUUGGACAAUGGGCGCAAGCCUGAUCCAGCCAUGCCGCGUGGGUGAUGAAGGCCCUAGGGUUGUAAAGCCCUUUCAGCGGGGAAGAUAAUGACGGUACCCGCAGAAGAAGCCCCGGCUAACUUCGUGCCAGCCGCCGCCGUAA